RNAcentral lists this unclassified non-coding RNA (398 nucleotides) under Melitaea cinxia (Glanville fritillary). RNAcentral's name for it is "misc RNA ENSMCXG00005004499.1". The record is from RNAcentral. Lineage: Eukaryota; Metazoa; Arthropoda; Insecta; Lepidoptera; Nymphalidae.
CAGUGUUGUCAAAUGGGGCGAUUUGUCGCGAAUUGGGCGAUUUUUUUCAUGGAUACGCUCCUUUUUUUAAGUUUGGGCGACAAGUCGCAAAUUAGGCUCUUUUUAAUCCUCAGCGUUGGCAACAAGUUAAAAGUACAAAAACCGUUACAAAAAAUAUUGUUUUUUUUUUAUGUCCCAAUAAGCUUCCUUUAAUUUUGAAAUUGAGUCAAUAUAUUUUAUCUGUAUCUUUUAUUUUAUCUUUUGUAUCUUGGGACAUCAUGUAAGUUAAUAAUAUCUAUAAUAUAAAAAUGAGUCGCUGAAUGUGUUGCUAAGCGCAAAACUCGAGAACGAUUAGACCGAUUUCGCUAAUUCUUUUUUUUAAAAUAUUCCUUGAAGUACGAGGAUGGUUCUUACGGAGA